Molecule: long non-coding RNA, 708 nt
Filed under: Cicer arietinum (chickpea)
Lineage: Eukaryota; Viridiplantae; Streptophyta; Magnoliopsida; Fabales; Fabaceae
Description: long non-coding RNA (CARI_LNC002229)
Source: RNAcentral
CCUUUCAUUCUUUGUGAACGGUUGGAUGAAUCUAAUGCUUCAAACAUAGCCACGUGUCUUUAUUUUUUCUCAAAUAUAAAAAAUGGUAAACCUGCACGUGUCUGCAACACCAUUGUCAUCCAAAUCAACCUCCAUUGUAUCACCCUCGUUGACUCACACCACCGCCUCCGUCGUUAAAUCGACCAUUGUUGCAUCUCCACUACGGUUCAUCUGCCGUCAUCGUUGACCUAUAUCAUAUGUGCUCUCACCUUGUAGCAGCUGCAACAAAAACAUUCUCAAACUAUUUCCAAUGUCCGAUUGAGAUGGCACCGGUGGUCGGAGUGCAUGAUGGUCACAUUUUGUCGAUUAUCUUGGACUCUCGUAAAGUGGUGGAGGAGAUGAAAAUGCUAUCCACAGUGUUCAAUUUGUCCUUUCAUUUUUAUUUCAAAUUAAAAAACAGUAUCAUCUAAAUCUUAAGAUUGAUUUAAUGACAACGGCAUUUGCAAGUGAACGCUGGUGGGGAUGCAACAAUGACGGUCAAUUAAAUGACGAAGGUGGUGGUGUGAGUCAAGGACGGUGGUACAAUGAGAGGUUUACCAUUUUUUAUCUUUGAUUUUUUUAUUUGAGAAAAAAAUAAAGACACGUGGCUAUGUUUGAAGCAUUAGAUUCAUCCAACCGUUCACAAAGAAUGAAAGGUAGAGUACCUUUCCCGCCACAAAGUUAGACAAU